CUCCACGUAUCUUUGGGACCUGUCAAGUGUGGCAGUCUCUUCCUAGCCAUGGAAGAGCUUAUUCUUGUUUACCAGCAAAGCUGUCACCAUUUAUUUAUUUAUUUUUAUUUAUUUUUUUUUU
Sapajus apella (tufted capuchin) is the source of this 121-nucleotide small nucleolar RNA. RefSeq annotates it as small nucleolar RNA SNORA24. The record is from RefSeq and is a predicted model, not a curated record. The transcript has a single exon. Lineage: Eukaryota; Metazoa; Chordata; Mammalia; Primates; Cebidae.